CCUACGGUGAGCAGCAGUCGAGAAUCAUUCACAAUGGGGGAAACCCUGAUGGUGCGACGCCGCGUGGGGGAAUGAAGGUCUUCGGAUUGUAAACCCCUGUCAUGUGGGAGCAAAUUAAAAAGAUAGUACCACAAGAGGAAGAGACGGCUAACUCUGUGCCAGCAGCCGCGGUAAUACAGAGGUCUCAAGCGUUGUUCGGAAUCACUGGGCGUAAAGCGUGCGUAGGCUGUUUCGUAAGUCGUGUGUGAAAGGCGCGGGCUCAACCCGCGGACGGCACAUGAUACUGCGAGACUAGAGUAAUGGAGGGGGAACCGGAAUUCUCGGUGUAGCAGUGAAAUGCGUAGAUAUCGAGAGGAACACUCGGGGCGAAGGCGGGUUCCUGGACAUUAACUGACGCUGAGGCACGAAGGCCAGGGGAGCGAAAGGGAUUAGAUACCCUGGUAGUC
This 446-nucleotide ribosomal RNA is filed under the name uncultured bacterium. RNAcentral describes it as "partial 16S ribosomal RNA". It matches the Rfam family "Bacterial small subunit ribosomal RNA", at positions 338 to 795 of the family's 1533-position model. The record is from RNAcentral.